Molecule: ribosomal RNA, 126 nt
Filed under: Erinaceus europaeus (western European hedgehog)
Lineage: Eukaryota; Metazoa; Chordata; Mammalia; Eulipotyphla; Erinaceidae
Source: RNAcentral
GUCUACGGCCAUACCACCCUGAACACACCCGAUCUCGUCUGGUCUCGGAAGCUAAGCAGGGUCGGGCCUGGUUAGUACUUGGAUGGGAGAAAUUCUCUGUUAUGAGAAUUCGGGUAGCAAAAAAUA